Molecule: long non-coding RNA, 490 nt
Organism: Ictalurus punctatus (channel catfish)
Lineage: Eukaryota; Metazoa; Chordata; Actinopteri; Siluriformes; Ictaluridae
Source: Ensembl
GAAAAGACUUCAGAAGAAUAAAACAUGAAGUUACCGGGAAUAAUUGCCUAAUAACUGUGCACACAGUGUAGUGUGCAUUUUGACCAAAUUUGGAGUAAGAUGUUGCGAUUAACCUGCUAUCCGCUAAGCUACAUUAUUUUUCCUUCUUCCUCCUGCCAAGCAAACAAAGUAAUGUUCAAUAUAAAUAAGGGUGAUAUUAAAAGGCUAUAUUUUCCUUACCCCAACACAGCUUGCACAGCUGGAGUCGUCCUCAAUGUGGUCGUCGCAUCUCAGCUGGAGUCGUCCUCAGUGUGGUCGUCGCAUCUCAGGUGCUUCUUCAUGGCUCUGAUCGCGUCGUCAUUGCGCAGGCAAUUCAGCAGACCUUGGUCUUCAUGAAAGAGACAAUCUACAGCAAACACUCUGUCUGUGUUUACACAGAGUCUGCUGUCUGGAACAAUUUCAUCUAGAUUAAACGUGUGGUGGAGCGCCACAAAAACGACAGGCUUACCCU